UACCAGCCCCCUGAGUGAUAGGGACGAUUAUUUAGCCUAAAGCGUCCGUAGCCGGCUUAGUAAGUCUCUCGUUAAAUCUGGCGACUUAAUCGUCCAGGCCGCGGGAGAUACUGUUAGGCUAGAGGGCGGGAGAGGUUGACGGUAGUCCCGGAGUAGGGGUGAAAUCCUAUAAUCCCGGGAGGACCACCAGUGGCGAAGGCGGUCAACUAGAACGCGCCUGACGGUGAUGGACGAAAGCUGGGGUAGCGAACCGGAUUAGACACCCGGGUAGUCCCAGCCGUAAACGAUGCGGGCUAGGUGUUGGUGCAACUACGAGCUGCUCCAGUGCCGCAGAGAAGUCGUUAAGCCCGCCGCUUGGGAAGUACGGCCGCAAGGCUGAAACUUAAAGGAAUCGGCGGGGGAGCACCACAAGGGGUGAAGCCUGCGGUUC
Molecule: ribosomal RNA, 430 nt
Filed under: uncultured archaeon
Lineage: Archaea
Description: bacterial SSU rRNA
Rfam family: Archaeal small subunit ribosomal RNA
Source: RNAcentral